RNAcentral lists this long non-coding RNA (2354 nucleotides) under Rhipicephalus microplus (southern cattle tick). RNAcentral describes it as "uncharacterized LOC119170712". The record is from RNAcentral. Lineage: Eukaryota; Metazoa; Arthropoda; Arachnida; Ixodida; Ixodidae.
GAAAAGGCACCUAAUUUCUGCAACCCGAUCGGGAGCACGGCACAGUGCCUCCACGGAGGAAGGAAUCCUCCAUGUAGCCACAUAACACCUAUGAUGUAGCACCGGUUGCACCCCCGGUAGGUGUUCUGUGGGGGCACAGCACAGCGGCGUGGUUUGUUCAUUCUUGUGUUGAUCGGCGCAGCUCGACGCGCGUGUGUUUUGCGAUGAGCUCCAGAGGAGCGAAGUACCGAACGGUCCACGCGUACGGAAAACGGCGAAUGUCAUGGAAUAAGGGGAGAAAACGGGACACAGGAGCGAACUCCGCUGACCUCGCCGAGCAGAGAGAGCCGGUGCCCGCAGUAGAUCGGUAUAGCUCCUUCGUGUGCGACAGCGCGUCCACAGGCGCGUCCGUUUGCGCUGGUCACGGCCUGGCUGCGGGCCAUGUUGACGGCGCGUGUGGCGUUGAAGACUCGUCCCUCUGCAGUGCCGACAAAUCCGCGUGUGGUGUUGAUGUGUUCACGUGCCGAAUUAACGGGUACGCGUGCGCUGUUGACCGCGCUUCUGCGAGCAACCACAGAUGUUCGCGCUUCGAGUAUCCUACAGAGGAUUUCGGGACCAACACUCACUGAUGAAGAGAUUGCGCGGCGGGAAGAGACGCGAGCGGACACUUUGAACGCAACCCUGGUGACACAGAAAAAAUUUCAGCUACUCAACGAUGGCGAAAGUGACGAUGAUGUUGCUCCCGAGGCAUCAUUUUUUGUUGCAAACAAGGUGAUGAUGAAUAAGCUGCUGUCGAAAUUUCGCAGCCACCAGUGCGGGAGGGCCCCAGUUUGUCUUGAAACUGGACCUAAUCUUGGGCUCUCUACAAAAAUGGAAGUUAUAUGCGUCCACUAUGGUACAAUAAGUAAAAAGUGUUCGUCCCCAUAGAGGUGUGCUGGCCCUCAGUAGACCAACCCCUUUGAAAUUAAUGUACGUGCCGUGAGAGCUGUGCAGUCUGUGGGCAAAUAUCAAACUGCACUGAAUGAUGUUUUUUCCCACAUGGACAUAUCACAUUGGGGUUUACAUCACAAGUCAUACAGGAGGCUUCACUGCAAGCGUAGUCACCUUGCCACUGCAUCAGCAGCCACAGCAAUAGAGGCGGCAAGUGCCAAGAGAGUGUGACAGAUAUAUCAGGAUCUUGGAUGUGCCCCUGGGAACAUUGAUGUCAUUUAUAAUGGCACAUGGAUGACGAGGGGUCACACAAGCCACGUUGGUCUUGGCUGUGCCAUCGAGUUAUACUCUGGCCUUGUCCAGGACCACUGUUCUCUCCAACUACUGCCAGGGCUAUACUCUUGUACCAAAGCCUCAAGACUGUGGAUACUCGGAGUGGUAUGGAAAACACAAACUGCAGUGCAAAAAAACAAAAAACAAAAAAAAACACAGAAGCGAAUGCUGGGCAAAUGGAAACGAUUGCAGCAAAGACCACGUUUCAGCGGUCACUUAAAAAACAUCAGCUCUGCUAUACAAGCGUCCUUUGUGAUGGUGAUAGCCGCACCUUUCCCACCCCCAGUGAGUAUGGCUUCAUACCCAUUCACAAGCAAGAAUGUGUAAAUCGCGUUACGGAAAGAAUGGGCACAGCUUUGUGCAACCUCGUGAAAAACAAAACAAGAGCAAGGACUGAGAGAUCAGCAUGAGUGAAAGAGGCCGCCUCUCGCAAGGCCUAAUUAAAGAACUCACGGACUGUCAUAAAUAGGCUAUCAAAAGUAACUUAAAUGAUGUGCCUGCCAUGCAAAAGGCUAUCAUGGCUACUUUUCACCACAUCACAUUGACUGAUAAAGAGCCUCACCGUGAGCAUUGUCCAACUGGAGUCAGCUAAUGGUGCAAGUUUAAUGCUGUGGCAGCCUCAGAAGAACCAGCACCUGCACACUAGCUGCAGCUUCCUGCACAUGUUUGGGCAGGGCUGCUGCCUAUAUACAAGUAAGUGCCUUUCUGCUAGAAAACUUCUGGAAGGAUGCCAGCAAAGAACAACUCAAAACGCCAUCGAGUCACUAAAUGUUGUGAUUUGGUCGCUCCAGUCCAAAACACAGUUGGUGAGAGUGCUGUGGCAGAUGCAGUUUGCCGUUUUAAUGCUGGCUGGGGGGUAAAGCACUUCAAAAAAUUACCCAACAGCUUGGCUACACUCCAGGAACGUGCUGCCCGCGGCGGGCUGCUGAAAAGGAUGCACAGUGCAUCAAGAAGUCAACUAAAGUGCACUAAACUGCUCCAAGGAAGCGUAAAACUGACAUGAAGUCAAAAGAAAAUGCCUUCAAAGGCAAAGGACUACAUCACAGGCAGGUUAUUGGUGCGCAUAGCUAAUAUUAAACUGAUUUCAUGUAAUAAAACUUUGAGCUCCGUUU